This 406-nucleotide ribosomal RNA is filed under the name uncultured bacterium. RNAcentral's name for it is "partial 16S ribosomal RNA". It matches the Rfam family "Bacterial small subunit ribosomal RNA", at positions 30 to 526 of the family's 1533-position model. The record is from RNAcentral.
AUUGAACGCUGGCGGCAUGCUUUACACAUGCAAGUCGGACGAUUGGCGAACGGGUGAGUAACAUAUCGGAACGUACCGAGUAAUGGGGGAUCACUAAUCGAAAGAUGAGCUAAUACCGCAUAUUAUUAGAUCGGCCGAUAUCUGAGUAGCUGGGUGGUGGGGUAAAGGCCUACCAAGGCUACGAUCAGUAGCGGGUCUGAGAGGAUCAGCCGUCACACUGGGACUGAGACACGGACCCGACUCCUACGGGAGGCAGCAGUGGGGAAUUUUGGACAUUGGGCGCAAGCCGGAUCCAGCCAGGCCGCGUGUCUGAAGAAGGCCUUCGGGUUGUAAAGGACUUUUGUCAGGGAAGCGUUACCUGAAUAAUAAGCACCGGCUAACUACGUGCCAGCAGCCGCGGUAAUAC